AACCAUUCAUAAGCUUGAUAUGUUGGCAUGAGUUCACACACACACGUUGAGUAUUGCAUUUGAUGAGUAAAGGUUAAUUUUAUUCUCGCACUAUUGAUAUCGUUUUAUUGUUAAUGCUAAGUUCCAAUCCUGAGACACGGCAAGCUAUUAAGUCAUGUUUGUUUAGCAUUGAGUCACUGCAUUGUUUGAGGACAAACAAUAGUUUAAGUUUGGGGGAUUUGAUAAGUAUGUUUUUACACACUGAUUU
Molecule: long non-coding RNA, 247 nt
Filed under: Olea europaea (common olive)
Lineage: Eukaryota; Viridiplantae; Streptophyta; Magnoliopsida; Lamiales; Oleaceae
Description: long non-coding RNA (OEUR_LNC015261)
Source: RNAcentral